UACAGGGGUCUCAAGCGUUGUUCGGAUUCAUUGGGCGUAAAGGGUGCGUAGGUGGCGAGGCAAGUCAGAUGUGAAAUCCCGGGGCUCAACCCCGGAACUGCAUUUGAAACUGCCUUGCUCGAGUACUGGAGAGGAGACUGGAAUUUACGGUGUAGCAGUGAAAUGCGUAGAUAUCGUAAGGAAGACCAGUGGCGAAGGCGAGUCUCUGGACAGUUACUGACACUGAGGCACGAAGGCCAGGGGAGCAAACGGG
Molecule: ribosomal RNA, 253 nt
Filed under: uncultured bacterium
Lineage: Bacteria
Description: partial 16S ribosomal RNA
Rfam family: Bacterial small subunit ribosomal RNA
Source: RNAcentral